CUCACUGCCUCUUUGACCAGGUCUUUAUUCAAAAUAAGCUGUCCAAUUUUAUGUCACUUGUAUGGGAUAGAGAUUUUGAUUUUAAGAGUUUAUGCAGCAGGCUGCUUUUGUUCAGCAGGUUUCUUUUCAGCUGCUGGUUUCUUGGUAGCUGCAGGCUUCUUCAAGGGCUUCUUGGUACCAGCAACCUUUUUUCCUUUCUUCUCUUCCACGGGCUUCUUGCCUUCAACCUUCUCUUCCAAUUUGGCUGCCUGUGCUGCUGCUUUAUCCAGAUGGAUUUUGUGAUUCCUGGCCUGGCGAAGAAUGGUAUUCCGGCGCAUGGUCUUUGCAUAUGGGUUCAGCUUCAACAUGAUCCUCAGGUUCUUCAGAGGAUUCUUCUUCAGGACUCUAUGAUGAAUCUUCUUGCAUGAUGCCCAGAGGGCUCUUUGGAUCUCUGGACUCUUCAGGAUUCUGCUCCGGUCUGUACUGAUUAUUUUGUGCAUAGGCAGGUUAUAGUUACUCUUGAGGGAAGCAGCUUUACGCCAAGUGCCAUACAACUCAUCUAACUUCCAGAAAGCACUUUCAGUCCAAAUGCAGAAGCGCCCCACAUGCCCACCAGGAGCAAGUUUCAAAAUAUUCAGUUUACUUACAUUAAGUAGAGUAAUGCCAGGGAUAUUUCUGAAGGCCUUGAUGAUACCAUUGUCUUCAUUAUAGAUGAUGCAAGGUCCCCUGCGCUGGAUGUGACAGCGGUUUCUCAUGUUGCCCUUGCCAGCUCUCAUUCACCGAGAGGCAUAGACCUUUUUGUUAUCAUUCCAGGCCUUCAGUUUCUUCAGAAGCAAAAUGGCCUCCCCGGUCCUCUUGUAACCUUCAACUUUAUCUUCUACAACCAAAGGAAGUUCAGGAACUUCCUCAAUUCGAUGACCUUUUGACAUGACCAGUGCUGGCAAAGCUGAGGCAGCCAGAGCAGAGUAGAUGGCAUAUCGUUUCUGAGUUGUGUUCACUCUACGGUGCCAACGUCGCCAGGUUUUGGUUGGUGCAAACAUGCGGCCUCCUUGACACAUGUUUCCAAAAGCACCCUGGCCAGAACGGUGGGUCCCACCUCCUCAAACCCUUGGAAUUCGAGCCACAGCUCUGCCCAUCCCCCAAGACUCAGCACUGGUCUGGUGACCUGCCAAUUCACUGACAGCAUAGGGCUGCCUGUUGUUUUUACGCAAGUUGGUGUGAACGAA
RNAcentral lists this long non-coding RNA (1205 nucleotides) under Heterocephalus glaber (naked mole-rat). RNAcentral's name for it is "lncRNA (ENSHGLG00100034041.1)". The record is from RNAcentral. Lineage: Eukaryota; Metazoa; Chordata; Mammalia; Rodentia; Bathyergidae.